CCCAAAGUCAGCGGUUUGGGCCUGCUGCUGUCAGGCCAUGGGUGUCUGCUGAGCUCCAAAGAGAAAGAGGUGGCCAGAGAAUCGAUUGCUACCUGCCCACCUGGGCUCAGAGGGCCAGCGGCAGCCCCUGAGAUCCCGCUGCUCCCAAUGUUGUCAAGCAGAUGAAGAUCAAGACAGCAGGGCCUUUGACCCGGAGGCUUGCAAGGAGUAGAAGCCCCUCUUCAUCCACAAUGCCAUCGACUUGCUGACCACAGCAUCUGGGCCCAGGCCACCCCUAACAUCAGCUUCCACCACUCCUACUGUGCCUACCACGCAGAGACCCAGGUGCAGCCCACCCUGGCGCCCCAGUGCCUGCCUCAAGCUCUACAAGGAUGACUGCAUGUCUCGAUGCCUGCCUGCACCUUUCUGCUUCUAUCUGCAACAACAUCUGGUUCACUAACUCCUCCUUCAUCCUUUUCCUGAACAGGAGCACCUGCUGGCCCAGGGAUCCAAGCGUCCCUCUCUGCAUCUGCCUCCUGAGGACCAGGCCCACAGCACCGACGAGGAGCCCCAGCGGCAGUUCAAGGCCCUGAGCCGCUAGAGGACCAAGGAGAGCUACUCCCUCCUCUCCUGUGCCACCCACACCCAUGACACCUAGUUUGUCCUUAAUGCAGUGACCAACGUCAUUGGAUGGAACAGUUCCAAGGACUUUGCUGAGGAGCCCGGCCCAGCCCGCUUGCCAGGAGUGAGACUCCUGCUAGAAAGGCCUAACCUGGGGCAGAAAAUGCAGUACCUGCAACCUCGAGCCUGAGAUCGGCUUGGAGCUGCUAUGACUCUUGGGAAGGCACAGCCCUCACUGUGGCCUGAGGAAGACCCUGCCGGGACCCUGCACUCUGGGCCUUCUCACCCCGGGGGCCCAAGGACACUGGCCAUGAAAGGACCUUGGCCUGGGACUGUGUGUGAAUAUGAACUCCUGCUGCUGAGAUGGGAGGCACCAUGGGAGCCCUUGCCAAAUCUCCUCUCUCACCCUUUGUUCAGUACCCAGAAGUCCAAGGUCAGUGAGAAUCACAGCCAAGGACUUGAAGAGAUGUACAGAGGAAAAGAGAGGAGUUGGUGACCGUACAAAAGUAAGAUUGUCUACUUUAAGAAAAUAAGGGGCUGGGGAUUUAGCUUAGUGGUUUCGCCACCUGCUGAGCAAGUGCAAGGACCCGAGUUCGAUCCCCAGUACCAAAAAAAAAAAAAAAGAAAGAAAAGAAAAUACCCUGAUUGGAGCAAAAACAAAAAGAAAUCAGUGGUUUAAAAUGACAAACAUUGAUAACCUCACAGUUCCUAUGAGUUGGGAGGGUAGGCCAGGUUAGCUGGGCCCUCUAGCUCAGAGUCCUUCACAGUUCAUGAGCCAGCUGGGGCUGUACUCACCUCAAAGUGGACUCUCUUCCAGGCUCAUUUAAGAGAUUAUUGGCAGGAUCCAGUUUCUCCCAGACUGCUGGAACAUGGGCCUCAGUUUCUUGCUGGCUGUUGGCCAGAGCUUCCAUGUUGGAUUCUCCAUAGUUUACCUCAUAAAAUGGCAGCUCACUUCCUCUCAAGUGAAUAAGCAAAAGAGCAAGAGAAGCAGGCAAGAUGGAAGCCAGAGUAACAUAAUCUCAGAAGUGAAUUACCACCACUUUUUGAUUAGUCAGAACAGAGGUCAGCAAACACAGUUAACAGGCCAUAUCUGGCCUGCCACUUGAUUUAUAAAUAAAGUAUCACUGGAACACACAGUGAUAAAGUUUA
Molecule: non-coding RNA, 1749 nt
Organism: Heterocephalus glaber (naked mole-rat)
Lineage: Eukaryota; Metazoa; Chordata; Mammalia; Rodentia; Bathyergidae
Source: RefSeq, a predicted model, not a curated record